GUUCGGGAAAACUUUUCAUCCAGCAGGACAGCGAGGAUUCUUGGCCCUCCUAUAACAGAAAACGCACAUCUGUGCUCUUGAGUUUCCUUAUGAGGACUUUUACUGGCUUACGCAUCGGAAAAAUGUUGUAGUUGCAAGAUCAAAGAAGAUUAUGCACGCUUGGCAGAGAUUUCACAGGUGGAAAUAAGACCAUCCGCGGCAAAGCUCAUGUCACCGAAAGGGAUUAGUUUUUCAUACAGUAUCACAGCGUUACUAUUCUCGGUCUAUGUCAUUAACCGACGCAAAAGUUCUUAUUAGGCGCCGUGAAGCAAGUGGGCAUUGGCUAGUAUACGUAUAAAAUUGUGAAGGAAUUCUAUAAUGGCUCUGGGUAACCGUUACCAUUGCAUUGCCUGUUGAAGAUGUGGCCGAAGCAUAGCUGAAUGUAGCUGAAAAACUUAGUGCGAAAAUGCCAUUGGCCUAAAACACGCACGAAUAAUUGUGCAAGCAUGGUUUGUUGGCGAGGGGAAUGAAGACAAUACAUUGUUCGAUUUCAUUUGUCGAAGCUUCGUUGGAUGUAAAUUUUUUAGUUGCGCAUAGCACCAUGCUGGAUGGAAAAAUUGGAGAAGUUCGAUAAUGCCAUUGAGUGUUACUGGAAAGCCUGCACUGUGGGUUAUAUUGUAGCAGCGGAAAAUUUAAAUGAUAAACGAAUGCAAUCGCCAUAGUAGCAGACACCUCAUCAGGCAAUAUUAUGUAAAUGGAGUUUAGCGAUCCUGCAAUCGGAUUUGAAAAUGUCCAACAAACGCCGGCAAUCAGUGGUAAAGGCACUUCUAGUCUAAUUUUCAAAUAUUUUACGCUUAACUAACAAAUUUUUAAUAAAUUGUUUUAAUAGUUAUUUCUAUUGUA
RNAcentral lists this long non-coding RNA (882 nucleotides) under Rhagoletis pomonella (apple maggot). Its description in RNAcentral is "uncharacterized LOC118740430, transcript variant X6". Lineage: Eukaryota; Metazoa; Arthropoda; Insecta; Diptera; Tephritidae. The record is from RNAcentral.